GAUGAACGCUGGCGGCGUGCCUAAUACAUGCAAGUCGAGCGAACAGACGAGGAGCUUGCUCCUCUGACGUUAGCGGCGGACGGGUGAGUAACACGUGGAUAACCUACCUAUAAGACUGGGAUAAUUUCGGGAAACCGGAGCUAAUACCGGAUAAUAUAUUGAACCGCAUGGUUCAAUAGUGAAAGACGGUUUUGCUGUCUCUUAUAGAUGGAUUCGCGCCGCAUUAGCUAGUUGGUAAGGUAACGGCUUACCAAGGCAACGAUGCGUAGCCGACCUGAGAGGGUGAUCGGCCACACUGGAACUGAGACACGGUCCAGACUCCUACGGGAGGCAGCAGUAGGGAAUCUUACGCAAUGGGCGAAAGCCUGACGGAGCAACGCCGCGUGAGUGAUGAAGGUCUUCGGAUCGUAAAACUCUGUUAUUAGGGAAGAACAAAUGUGUAAGUAACUAUGUACGUCUUGACGGUACCUAAUCAGAAAGCCACGGCUAACUACGUG
Molecule: ribosomal RNA, 497 nt
Filed under: uncultured bacterium
Lineage: Bacteria
Description: partial 16S ribosomal RNA
Rfam family: Bacterial small subunit ribosomal RNA
Source: RNAcentral